AUGUGCAGCCGUCCACCUUUAGCACACCUUCACACGGUGGAAGUCGUAGGUUCGAAUCCUGCUGUGCCCACCA
Molecule: transfer RNA, 73 nt
Filed under: Tunturiibacter empetritectus
Lineage: Bacteria; Pseudomonadati; Acidobacteriota; Terriglobia; Terriglobales; Acidobacteriaceae
Description: Tunturibacter empetritectus tRNA-Val
Source: RNAcentral